RNAcentral lists this transfer RNA (72 nucleotides) under Bos taurus (domestic cattle). It matches the Rfam family "tRNA". Rfam says of the family: Transfer RNA (tRNA) molecules are approximately 80 nucleotides in length. The record is from Rfam by way of RNAcentral. RNAcentral also lists the same sequence under 4 other names. Lineage: Eukaryota; Metazoa; Chordata; Mammalia; Artiodactyla; Bovidae.
UCCCUGAUGGCUCAGCAGUUAAAGAAUCUGCCUGCAAUGCAGGAGACCCAGGUUCAAAUCCUGGGUGGAGAA